AUACGUAGGAAGCGAGCGUUAUCCGGAAUUACUGGGCGUAAAGCGCGCGUAGGUGGUCUUUCAAGUCGAAUGUGAAAUUUCCCGGCUUAACCGGGAAGGGUCGUUCGAUACUGUUGGACUAGAGAGCGGCAGGGGGAAGCGGAAUUCCCGGUGUAGUAGUGAAAUGCGUAGAUAUCGGGAGGAACACCAGUGGCGAAGGCGGCUUCCUGGGCUGUUUCUGACACUGAGGCGCGAAAGUGUGGGGAGCGAACAGAAUUAGAUACUCUGGUAGUCCACACUGUAAACGAUGGGUACUAGGUAUAGGGAGUAUCGACCCUCUUUGUGCCGAAGCUAACGCUUUAAGUACCCCGCCUGGGGACUACGGCCGCAAGGCUAAAACUCAAAUGAAUUGACGGGG
This 397-nucleotide ribosomal RNA is filed under the name uncultured bacterium. RNAcentral describes it as "partial 16S ribosomal RNA". It matches the Rfam family "Bacterial small subunit ribosomal RNA", at positions 523 to 918 of the family's 1533-position model. The record is from RNAcentral.